Molecule: transfer RNA, 78 nt
Filed under: Clostridia bacterium
Lineage: Bacteria; Bacillati; Bacillota; Clostridia
Description: tRNA-Arg
Rfam family: tRNA
About the family: Transfer RNA (tRNA) molecules are approximately 80 nucleotides in length.
Source: RNAcentral
CUGCCCGUGGCUUAGCCCGGAUAGAGCAACGGACUCCGACUCCGUAGAUCGCAGGUUCGAAUCCUGUCGGGCAGGCCA